ACCGAGUUUACAACUCCCAAACCCCUGUGAACAUACCUUAAUGUUGCCUCGGCGGAUCAGCCCGCGCCCCGUAAAACGGGACGGCCCGCCAGAGGACCCAAACUCUAAUGUUUCUUAUUGUAACUUCUGAGUAAAACAA
Molecule: unclassified non-coding RNA, 139 nt
Filed under: Fusarium tricinctum
Lineage: Eukaryota; Fungi; Ascomycota; Sordariomycetes; Hypocreales; Nectriaceae
Description: ITS1
Source: RNAcentral